RNAcentral lists this long non-coding RNA (424 nucleotides) under Chloebia gouldiae (Gouldian finch). RNAcentral describes it as "Erythrura gouldiae (Gouldian finch) lncRNA (ENSEGOG00005017331.1)". The record is from RNAcentral. Lineage: Eukaryota; Metazoa; Chordata; Aves; Passeriformes; Passeridae.
CUCUCACUUGCGGCUGUGGAAAGGGCGGAAAACACCCCAAAACCGCCCCCUUCCCACCAAAAACCGACCUCCCCAAAAAAUGAAAAGAAAUCGACUCUUACUUCUCUGCAUUCCCCAGCUCUGGGGAUUCUCUCCUCAAAUCCCUGCCGGACUCUCCUGAGCGCGUUUUGAGUGCAGACUGGCCUUUUUUGGUUAAAUCCUCUCUUUUUUUUUUUUUUGAUCACCGGCCCCUCCCGCACGACGCCUUUGGGAUAAAAAAAAAAGAAUUUGGACACUUACUGAGCGGCGCCGGCGGGAGCGGCGGGGCAUUUUCCUCAAAUUCCUCAAUUUUCCUGGCUCCGGGACCCAAAUCGGGAUUUUUCUUCCUUUUUCUCCCUUUAUCCUUCUUUUUUUCAUUAAUUUUCGCUUCUAUUUUCUCUCCUUU